UACAUUCGAAUCGAAACCAAUUUUAAAUAUCUGACAAUGUGUUUGAAUCCCAACAGUGAAAAGACCCAAUUUUGCACAAGUUGAGAUGAUUUGAUUGAGGCUAAAUUGGUCACAUAGAAAACCAUUUUGAUGUAACAGAGGUAAGACGUCUAAAUUAACACUGUUUGAAUCGUAAUAUUUGUCUUUGAAGCUUGGGUUGGUACAGUAACCAAGAUUAUUAACUGGGUAUUUCGCGAGGUAGCUAUGUGUUGUUAUAACUUGGUAAUAAAUUUGGUUCGCUACUUUUGCUUGUCUUGCCAUGUUGUACAAAGGUGAAAUGCAGGUGAUCUUAGAAUCAUUUUAUGUCAAAUCAUUCCCCCGUUUGAGAGGUUUACCACUUAGACUUACG
Molecule: long non-coding RNA, 388 nt
Filed under: Nicotiana benthamiana
Lineage: Eukaryota; Viridiplantae; Streptophyta; Magnoliopsida; Solanales; Solanaceae
Description: long non-coding RNA (NBEN_LNC037747)
Source: RNAcentral